GAUGAACGCUGGCGGCGUGCCUAAUACAUGCAAGUCGAGCGAACGGACGAGAAGCUUGCUUCUCUGAUGUUAGCGGCGGACGGGUGAGUAACACGUGGAUAACCUACCUAUAAGACUGGGAUAACUUCGGGAAACCGGAGCUAAUACCGGAUAAUAUUUUGAACCGCAUGGUUCAAAAGUAAAAGACGGUCUUGCUGUCACUUAUAGAUGGAUCCGCGCUGCAUUAGCUAGUUGGUACGGUAACGGCUUACCAAGGCAACGAUGCAUAGCCGACCUGAGAGGGGGGUCGGCCACCCUGGAACUGAGACAGGGUCCAGACUCCUACGGGAGGCAGCAGUAGGGAAUCGUCCGCAAUGGGCGAGAGCCUGACGGAGCAACGCCGCGUGAGUGAUGAAGAUCUUCGGAGCGUAAAACUCUGUUAUUAGGUAAGAACAUAUGUGUAAGUAACUGUGCACAUCUUGACGGUACCUAAUCAGAAAGCCACGGCUAACUACGUG
RNAcentral lists this ribosomal RNA (497 nucleotides) under uncultured bacterium. Its description in RNAcentral is "partial 16S ribosomal RNA". It matches the Rfam family "Bacterial small subunit ribosomal RNA", at positions 28 to 507 of the family's 1533-position model. The record is from RNAcentral.